RNAcentral lists this signal recognition particle RNA (99 nucleotides) under Acidobacteriota bacterium. Its description in RNAcentral is "Acidobacteria bacterium signal recognition particle sRNA small type". It matches the Rfam family "Bacterial small signal recognition particle RNA". From Rfam's summary of the family: The signal recognition particle (SRP) is a universally conserved ribonucleoprotein involved in the co-translational targeting of proteins to membranes. Lineage: Bacteria; Pseudomonadati; Acidobacteriota. The record is from RNAcentral.
CUUCGGACUCCGCACAACGCUCGCCGCACGAACCCCGCCAGGCCGGGAACGGAGCAACGGUAGUGCCGGCCGCGUGUGUUGCGGGUCAGUCCGGAGUCU